GAUGAACGCUAGCUACAGGCUUAACACAUGCAAGUCGAGGGGAAACGCCAUCGAAAGCUUGCUUUUGAUGGGCGUCGACCGGCGCACGGGUGAGUAACGCGUAUCCAACCUGCCCAUCACUUGGGAAUAACCUUGCGAAAGUAAGACUAAUACCCAAUGACAUCCCACGAAGACAUCUGAAUGGGAUUAAAGAUUUAUCGGUGAUGGAUGGGGAUGCGUCUGAUUAGCUUGUUGGCGGGGUAACGGCCCACCAAGGCAACGAUCAGUAGGGGUUCUGAGAGGAAGGUCCCCCACAUUGGAACUGAGACACGGUCCAAACUCCUACGGGAGGCAGCAGUGAGGAAUAGUGAUCAAUGGGCGAGAGCCUGAACCAGCCAAGUAGCGUGCAGGAUGACGGCCCUAUGGGUUGUAAACUGCUUUUAUAAGGGAAUAAAGUGGGUCUCGUGAGACUUUUUGCAUGUACCUUAUGAAUAAGGACCGGCUAAUUCCGUG
Molecule: ribosomal RNA, 492 nt
Filed under: uncultured bacterium
Lineage: Bacteria
Description: partial 16S ribosomal RNA
Rfam family: Bacterial small subunit ribosomal RNA
Source: RNAcentral